RNAcentral lists this long non-coding RNA (3077 nucleotides) under Mus musculus (house mouse). Its description in RNAcentral is "long non-coding RNA chr4:46457883-46460960". The record is from RNAcentral. Lineage: Eukaryota; Metazoa; Chordata; Mammalia; Rodentia; Muridae.
GAAUUUUCCCUGAGCUUCUCCUUCAUUUUGGAACAUAGCCCACACCAGUGCUUGGGUAGGGUGCACCUUCAUCAAGAAGUUCAGUGUCAUUUCCAACUCAUUUCAUUUUAGUCAUAAAUUUAAAAAAAUUAAUGUAUGAUGGGCAAGGGUCAUGCAUGUGCCAGAGUGUACAUAUCAGGUCAGUUGUAUAGUCAGAUCUCUGCUGUAUUUUUAUACGAGGGGUCAAACUUACAGCACAGUAGUGCUUUCCCAUGCUGUAACGAUCUUACAGGUUCUUUGCCAUGACAGAAAGGCUUGUUGAAGUCCUGUUUUACCUCACAAGUGAGGCAUCACAUGCGUGGCUGUGUCCCAGGUCAUCUUAUUUUCAAAGGUUUACUUUGUGGUUGAGGCUGACCUGGAACUGACUCUCCACUCAGCUCACAGGCCUUCAGCUUUCAGCCCUCCGCCUCAGACUCCUGAGUGCUGGGAUUACAGGUGUCUUGUCACCAUGCCCAUCUUGUUCUUGGUGUUUAAAAUGAAGUUCUUAGCUGGGCAGUGUGGUGGCUUCAGUUCCAGUAGUUGGGAGACAGGCAGACAGGUCUCUUGAGUUCCAGGACAGCCAGGCCUACACAGAGAAGCCCUGUCUUGGGGGGAGUAUUUUUAGCUUUGGGCACCUUGCCUGUCUUUCUUAAUUGCCCUGAGUUCCAUCCAUGAUGCUUUUUCUAGGAAUACCAGGUUCCUGCCACUUCCUCUUCCUUGGUGACUCACAAACACCAUUGAAACUUGGGUCUAUGUCUCUAGCUCUGUGUGUGUGUGUCUCCCUCCUGUGGUAUUCAUUGUUUCACCUCAAAAUGCUGUUCUUUAUUUUGAGUGUCCCGUGUUGCUUGCCAUAAUAGGGUUUUUUGUAUUGCAGCAAUAUUCAUUUUUUUGUUUUUGUUUUUUCGAGACAGUGUCUCUCUGUGUAGCCCUGGCUGUCCUGGAACUCACUUUGUAGACCAGGAAGACCUCGAACUCAGAAAUCCUCCUGCCUCUGCCUCCCAAGUGCUGGGAUUAAAGGCAUGUGCCACCAUGCCCGGCAAUAUUGACUUUAAAUGUAGUAAAUGCCUGAAUCUGCCCAGCGAUGGAGCUGCCAUAGUAUUUUGUCCCCCUUCCAUCUCCAAUGGAAGUUUCUUAUUACCCCUCAGUAGAUACACUGGAAUCUUAGCAAUUUCAAGUAUCAAGGAAAAAAUUUUUAUCCCAAUCUGAGAGGCAGUGUGCCAUACUUUUUAAUUCCUCCCCACUUACUUUGGACAUAUUAGUGUCAUAUCUUAUAUUUUAAUUUUAUUGUUACACAAAAAAUGAAAAUCACCUUAGCUGGGCAUGGUUGUGUGUGUCUGCAGUACCAGCACACAGAAGGCAGAGGCAGUUGGAGCUCUUGAGUCAAGAGAAGGCAGACAUCUACAUCUCAGAAUCCUAGGUCAGCCUUAGGAAGACUUUCUUUAAAACAAAACAAAAUAGAAGAGAUCUGAAACUGGAGAGUACAGGUGUAAAAAUCCUUAGCAGGAUUUAUUUGUGACUUUUUCUUUUGAAAAUAGCAAGGAAAAGCCAGGCAUGAUGGUAGAUGCCUUUAAUUCCAGGACUUAAGAGGCAGAGAAAGGCAGGGGGGUGUCUGUGAGUUCAGGGGCAGCCUGGUCCACAUAGUCCCAGGAAACCCAGGGCUUUGUAUAGAGACCCUGUCUCAAAACAAGACAAACAAAAAUGGCAGAAGACUAUUGGAACUCUGAGUGAUGGUAGUGAGAUCAGUCACCCUGCUUUUCAAGCAGCAGGCUCAUUGCCCAAGUGCCUUGGUGCCUUACAUGGCCGAAGUAAAGUGUUCAUCUCCCCGUGGCCAUGCCCUUCCUGGGCUUAAAGCAGGAAAGAAAGCCCCUUGAAAGCACAGCUAUAGAAGGAAAGAGAUAGGUUCACGUAUGCUCUGAGAACUAGGGUGCCUCUCUGCUCUUGGUGCGAUAUGGAGAAUAUGCCUCCCUGUGCGUGCGUGUACAUGAACAGUGAUCUUUGAGUCUUGAUACUAUGCUGAGACUACAAGACUAACCAUGCUUUUUAUAUUGGUAGCUGAUCCUACUCUCACAUAAAUGUUAUUCUUGAGUUUGGAAGUUUUACAGGUUUGAAUUUAAGAGAUUUUUUGUUUUUGUUGUUGUUUUCUGUUACAGUUUUUAAAGCUUCUUCCUAUUUUUGUUUGUACCCACAGGUUCGAGAACUUGUCUUGGACAAUUGCAAAGCAAUGGAUGGAAAAAUUGAGGGGUUAACAGAUGAAUUUGUGAACUUAGAGUUCCUCAGUUUAAUAAGUGUAGGCUUGUUUUCAGUUUCAGACCUCCCGAAGCUACCUAAGUUGAAAAAGGUAAGUAUUCUUUCAUUGUUAAGAGGAUGAUUGAGAAGGAGGAAUGCAUGGGUUUCUGUGUGCUGUAAGCACGUGUGUUUUAGUGGCCCACGACACUGAGAUUGGGCGGCUACCUUCCGUCCUAAGGUGGCUCAGCUUCAUUUUCAUCACUGGUGGUUACACUUGACCCUGCAAUGUUGCAACAGUGUUUUGAAAAUAAUGCCUUAUUAUAAGAGAGAGUUGCUUUAUAAAUAAUUGGUUAGUUGUCAAAAGCUUUAUUUUGUUAGCUACUUUUUGUGCUUAUGCUAUGUUCAGGAGACACAAGAGCCUCUCACUUUCUGUGCUUUAAUUUGUAUGCUGAUGAGAAGGAAAGUGAAGACUGACUGUGGGGUGUGCGUGUGGUACCUACCCUCCAAAGGCAUCUCAGAUGAGGGGGCGAAGUUACAGGCAGUUUACAACUGCCCCCAUGGGUAGUGAAAAUCAAACCCAUCUUCUGCAAGGACAGAAAGUGCUCUUGACUGCUGAGCCAUCUCUAGCUAGUCCUGUCAUGAAAUUCUUAAUAACUAGUUUGAAAUGUGUUGUGAUUGACUAGAAAGAGCUGUGUAAGAAAGCCUGCGACAGGCCAAAUCUGGUGGUAUCUGCCUGUAAUCCAGCUCUUAGCAGAAACAUGUAAAGGACUGUGGGGUCCCUCUAGACAGCCACUGCCUCCUAUGUCUGUGUCCCCAGCCACCACCACCACCCC